GAGUUUGAUCCUGGCUCAGAACGUACGCUGGCGGCACGCCUAACACAUGCAAGUCGAACGAAGUAGCAAUACUUAGUGGCAGACGGGUGAGUAACAUGUGGGUAUCUGCCCUUUGGCCUGGAAUAACACGAGGAAACUCGUGCUAAUACCGGAUAAGUCUUUACGGAGAAAGCUUUAUGCACCAUUGGAUGAGCCCGCACUUGAUUAGUUUGUUGGUGGGGUAAUGGCCUACCAAGACUGUGAUCAAUAGCUGAUUUGAGAGGAUGAUCAGCCACAUUGGGACUGAGACACGGCCCAAACUCCUACGGGAGGCAGCAGUGGGGAAUCUUGCACAAUGGAGGAAACUCUGAUGCAGCGAUGCCGCGUGAGUGAAGAAGGCCCUUGGGUUGUAAAGCUCUUUCGUCGGGGAAGAAAAUGACUGUACCCGAAUAAGAAGGUCCGGCUAACUUCGUGCCAGCAGCCGCGGUAAUACGAAGGGACCUAGCGUAGUUCGGAAUUACUGGGCUUAAAGAGUUCGUAGGUGGUUGAAAAAGUUAGUGGUGAAAUCCCAGAGCUUAACUCUGGAACUGCCAUUAAAACUUUUCAGCUAGAGUAUGAUAGAGGAAAGCAGAAUUUCUAGUGUAGAGGUGAAAUUCGUAGAUAUUAGAAAGAAUACCAAUUGCGAAGGCAGCUUUCUGGAUCAUUACUGACACUGAGGAACGAAAGCAUGGGUAGCGAAGAGGAUUAGAUACCCUCGUAGUCCAUGCCGUAAACGAUGUGUGUUAGACGUUGGAAAUUUAUUUUCAGUGUCGCAGCGAAAGCGAUAAACACACCGCCUGGGGAGUACGACCGCAAGGUUAAAACUCAAAUGAAUUGACGGGGACCCGCACAAGUAGUGGAGCAUGUGGUUUAAUUCGAAGAUACGCGCAGAACCUUACCACACUUGACAUGUUCGUCGCGACUCUAGAGAUUAGAGUUUUCGGUUCGGCCGGGACGANCACAG
This 982-nucleotide ribosomal RNA is filed under the name uncultured bacterium. RNAcentral describes it as "bacterial SSU rRNA". It matches the Rfam family "Bacterial small subunit ribosomal RNA", at positions 9 to 1037 of the family's 1533-position model. The record is from RNAcentral.